UAACGCGUGGGUAACCUGCCUCAUACAGGGGGAGUAACAGUUAGAAAUGACUGCUAAUACCGCAUAAGCGCACAGUGCUGCAUGGCACAGUGUGAAAAACUACCGGUGGUAUGAGAUGGACCCGCGUCUGAUUAGCUAGUUGGUGGGGUAACGGCCUACCAAGGCGACGAUCAGUAGCCGGCCUGAGAGGGUGAACGGCCACAUUGGGACUGAGACACGGCCCAAACUCCUACGGGAGGCAGCAUGC
Molecule: ribosomal RNA, 247 nt
Filed under: uncultured bacterium
Lineage: Bacteria
Description: partial 16S ribosomal RNA
Rfam family: Bacterial small subunit ribosomal RNA
Source: RNAcentral